Molecule: transfer RNA, 75 nt
Filed under: Methanosphaera stadtmanae
Lineage: Archaea; Methanobacteriati; Methanobacteriota; Methanobacteria; Methanobacteriales; Methanobacteriaceae
Also listed under: 4 other names
Description: tRNA-Ile
Rfam family: tRNA
About the family: Transfer RNA (tRNA) molecules are approximately 80 nucleotides in length. Their secondary structure includes four short double-helical elements and three loops (D, anti-codon, and T loops).
Source: RNAcentral
GGGCGCGUGGCUCAGCUUGGUUAGCGCGCACGGCUGAUAACCGUGAGGUCAUGGGUUCGAAUCCCAUCGUGCCCA